RNAcentral lists this ribosomal RNA (254 nucleotides) under uncultured bacterium. RNAcentral's name for it is "partial 16S ribosomal RNA". It matches the Rfam family "Bacterial small subunit ribosomal RNA", at positions 524 to 776 of the family's 1533-position model. The record is from RNAcentral.
UACGGGGGGAGCAAGCGUUGUUCGGAUUUACUGGGCGUAAAGGGCGCGUAGGCGGUCGUGACAAGUCACUUGUGAAAUCUCCGGGCUUAACUCGGAAAGGUCAAGUGAUACUGUCGGACUAGAGUACAGAAGAGGCGAGUGGAAUUCCUGGUGUAGCGGUGAAAUGCGCAGAUAUCAGGAGGAACACCGAUUGCGAAGGCAGCUCGCUGGGACGUUACUGACGCUGAGACGCGAAAGCGUGAGGAGCAAACAGG